UACGUAGGCAGCAAGCGUUGUUCGGAGUUACUGGGCGUAAAGAGUGCGUAGGUGGUGCCCUAAGUCUGUUGUGAAAUCUCCCGGCUUAACUGGGAGGGUGCGGUGGAAACUGGGGUGCUUGAGUGUGGGAGAGGUAAGCGGAAUUCCUGGUGUAGCGGUGAAAUGCGUAGAUAUCAGGAGGAACACCGGUGGUGUAGACGGCUUACUGGACAGACACCGACGCUGAGGCACGAAAGCUAGGGGAGCAAACAGG
RNAcentral lists this ribosomal RNA (253 nucleotides) under uncultured bacterium. RNAcentral's name for it is "partial 16S ribosomal RNA". It matches the Rfam family "Bacterial small subunit ribosomal RNA", at positions 524 to 776 of the family's 1533-position model. The record is from RNAcentral.